Molecule: long non-coding RNA, 2165 nt
Organism: Passer montanus (Eurasian tree sparrow)
Lineage: Eukaryota; Metazoa; Chordata; Aves; Passeriformes; Passeridae
Exons: 3
Source: RefSeq, a predicted model, not a curated record
AGCAAGUCUAUUGAACAGCUUCCAAGGCUACAGUGGCUUGGAAAGAGAUCUGGAUUGCCAGAGAGUACCUGUGGCCACUUGGCAAUCCAGGAUCUGACUUCUACUGCCUCUGAAAGGCCAGCCAGAUGUAGUGACCUGACACUCAGGAAAGGAAAGCAAAGCUCUCUCCUACGAGGUGCAGCUCCUUCUGGAAAGGAGCUUUGCAGAUGUACAGACUCCUGAAGCUCAGCCUGCUCCUCAUACCUGGGUAAUUCUGAGACCAGUCUCCCACACACCAACAUCAAUGGGGUUUUUCCUGCUGGAUUAAGCAGAAGGAGGAAUACCAGCUAGAAAGACCUUGAGAGGAGGGUUUUUUUUCACACAACUUGUAAUUAAUUGUGGUACUCAUUGCUACAGGAUUUUAUGAAUCUCACUCUUUUGUAUAUAUUGAAAGUGUAAUCAGAGUAAAACCUGUCAUGUAUGUUCAAAUAUGCAGAUAAUAACUCUUAAAAAAUACUUAUAAAAACUAUCCCUGAAUCUUAGAUCUCUAGAAACAAUGGGAUUGUACUGAGGAUGUGUCACUGUAUGUUUGCCACUUCUUAUUCACUUCCUUAGGCAAUUGCUGCUGGCUUCUCUUGGAGGAAUGGUACCUGGUGGCCUGGAUCUUUGAUUUGAUCACUCUGGUCAGUCUGAGUGAUGUGAAAAAAAAUUGACUUUGACUCAAAGGCUGUAUUCUAUGAUCACUUUUGACAAUUAUAAGCACAAAGAACAUGGUCAUAUUUUCAAAUUCUGAGGUAAAAUAUAUGGACACCUAAAAUGUGAUCUGAAACUUUUGCAUUAUUUGAGGGAACACUUUGUCACGAUAAGAGCCUGAAGUGCCAGGAGCAGAGAAGAAGUAUUGUAGGUUAGGCCUAUGUCCUGCACAGAAGCUCAUUUGUAAAUGCUCCCUCUCUCUUCACUUAGGACAGCUAUAAAAUCAAGCUAAUAAUGUUUAUACUUAGUUUUGGAAGGAACUUUGAGAGCUAGAAAUAAAUGCUUACUCUGCAAAUGCAAAGAUUUAUUUUUUUACAUGGAGUGAUUGCAACUGAGUAAAAAUGGGAAGAGGAUCAAAAACAUUUGGAAGACUCAAGAUCACAAAUGACUGUCAGUGACACUAAUUUUCCUAAUGUUUUAGGUGCUUUUGUAUGUCCUCUAGGGAGGCUAAGAUGCAUCCAAGAAAAAGCUCUGGCAUUAUGUGCCCUAACUUUUUGAUGCCUGGCCCCUGACGUGCAGUUCCAAACCUUAAGUUAGGCACAGCAUUUCCGGCUCUGUGAUACUGAACACAUUUUGCCAACAGGAGAGCAAUGGAGUUGCCUCAGAACACUGAGCCUGAAGGCAAGAACCCUCUGCUAGGUGGGAAUUAAUUUUUCAGAGGAGCAAAGACCUUGCUGUUAGGCAGAUUUUGCUGGCAUUUAGAAAUACAUCUCAUUGUAGGCAGCUACUUCAUUUUGGGGAGAUUUAUCCCCAAAACCUCAGAUAUAAAAGAGUUGAGAUCUUUGCAAAACCCCAUCUUAUAAUAAACCCUGUGUAAUAAAUACUGACUCUGGCCUUAAAUUAAAAUGGAAUAAUUUAUUGCUAGAUUUGACUAAUCUCCUUGAAGAUGUCCAAUGUGUAAACUGGGCAUCUUCAAGGCCUGUUAGGACAAAGAUGGAUGGGGAGAAGGCUGGCUGUGAGCCAGCAAAGCUGACCACAGCAAGGGAGAAGUGUGAUGAUUAAACCUGGGCCAGCCCCUGCUGCCCUGACUCCAGGCUGUUCUAUGGAAAGAUGUGCAAGGACAAGGUGAGGAUUUUGCAGAAGCUGGGACACUGAAACUCAGCAGCCUGGGACCACCCCUAUGGCAGCAUGUGGGAAGCAGCAAGCUCAUCUAGACACAAAAUCAAUCUUUAGUUAAAAUCCAUGGUCUUUCCACAGGUUUUUAAGGCCGAUACAGUAACAGGGUCCAAGAACUGGCUCUGAGGGUGCAGUGCUUUAAUACAGAGGUCCAGUUAAAGUGCCCUGGAAGCCUGGCACUGCCUCAUGGAAUGGUUAAUCCAUCUUCCCUCUCUGCCUCUGCUGUUCCUGCACAUUUGAACUGUCAUAUCCUUUCUCCAUUAUGUAAUAGCCUAGAGGUCACACAUGUUCCUCUGCUUUGAAUAAUACAUCUCUAU